This 5480-nucleotide long non-coding RNA is filed under the name Marmota monax (woodchuck). Lineage: Eukaryota; Metazoa; Chordata; Mammalia; Rodentia; Sciuridae. The record is from RNAcentral.
UACCUCCUUCUGGAACUGAACAAUAUUCACUUAGAAAGUAUUCCUAUCCCCACCUCCUACCCAAAUUGAACUGAAUCAGAUCAAGUCUUUAAAUCUAAUUACCAGUUACCAGAAAUACUGCAGUCAGAGGAGCAUGCUGAUGCCACGAGACGGAGUCAGCAAAAUCAAGACUGUGGGAAACUACCCAAGGCAAAUGACCCAAUUCCUUCACAACAACAACAACAACAACAACAAAAAUUUCAAGGAAAAUAAGAAUCUAUAAUUUAUCAAUGAUGAAUGAAGCAGAAUGAAUGAAGCAGAAUGCUCAGGUGUGGACCCUGCCUCAAACAGACUGACUGUUCGAAACGUUUAUGAGACGCCCAGGCAGAGCUGAAUGCAGUAUCUCUAGCCAAAAUCAGGGUAUUGUGAUCACAUCUCAGAACAGAGUCAUAUUCGUUCAAAUAGAGGUCGUGUGAUUGCAGACCACUGGUUUCUGGCGAGUUGGCCAAAUGUGCAGGUCUGUCCUGGGCGUCUGCUCCAGGUAGUCAAUGAGACACACUAAUAUCUACCUCCCAGCUACGGAGGCCCAUGAGCAGUAAAGUAACACUCACAGGAGAUCAUUUUUACUUAAAAGAUGAAGCUAUUGAGUAAGAAUACGUCUCACUCCUUAGUGACGAUUCAGUCAUGUUUCCUCGUUGUUCUUUCUUAUUUCACUUCAGUAACUUCCCAAAUGCUUGGAGUUCUUCGUGGGAGAGAGUGCUGGGAGAAGCUGCUUCCUCUCUGAACGCUUCUCCACCAGGACUUCGUGGCGUGACCGGGGAUGGCAUUGCCUGGUCUCUGUUUCAGCUGAGCUGAUCACAAACUCUUGUGCUUAUAGAUAGUCUAGAUUUUAUUCUUGGUUCCAACCGGCAGGUCAGAAGCUAGAUGUGGUGUCUCAGUUCACCACUGGCUUGUUCUUGGGAAACAGUUUUGGUGUUUCCAAACCAUUGGCCUGAGUUGAUGGGCCAUAAAAAGAAAAAAAAAUUGGCAAAUAAACUUUCGCAUUUAUUAUAGAUAGGACAUGGCUAAUAAAUUCUAAAAUCUUUUCUAUAAUGGUCCAAAAUUAAUUGUUUUCUUACCAUCCUAGUAUCAAGAAAAAAAAAAAAGAAGAAGAAGAAAGAAAGAAAGAAAAACAGCUUUGCUACUUAGUUCUGUUCUUGUAUGAACACCAUGUCAGGCACCCAGAGUCACGUUCUCUGCCUUUUUCUAAUUACUGCAAAGCAGCGCCAGGCACGGAUCAUUACUUCACGUUGUUUCUCCGUGUUCUUCUUUUAUCCUAAUUUAUACUUAUUUCUUAAAACUUCCAGGUCUGUGCAGUGACAGACGUCAUUCCAAGCCUGUUUUGUCAGGCACUGGUAUUGACACCCAUAAGGACAUGUCCAGCUAAGAAGCAUGAGUCCUGCCUUCUCUCACGGUCGUGCGCUGACUUGUUAGCAUUGAGGCACUUGAAUUCCCGAUGCUGCAGCCGCACCUCGCAGCCAGAUGGCACUCACAGGGAAACACGGCCCUGGAACACUUCAUGAAGCUGAGAGGGAGGAAAAGAGGAUUUAUUGGAAGUCAUAGUUUCCUUCCACAAACCCCAAAGCACAGGGGUCAUCAAAUGCUGCCUAGCCUCUAACUCCCUGAGGGCCCAUGAUACGCCAUCGGUUUUCCUGGAGGGAAUUAGGAGUCUUGCACAACUGGCCCGGCUAGUUCACGCUCAUGGUGUUCCUGUGACAGAAUGCAGGCCUCGAGCCAAGAUCAGGCCCCCUACACUCUGGCCCCAUCCCUUGGUAGAGUGCAAAGAUCCAGAUGAGGUGUGUGUCUUCAGCCCUCCGAUGUCCUCACUGUGUGACAUGCGGUCCUGCUAAGUGCUGGCUGUGCAUUGUACUAGCAUUUUAUAGGGAAAACAUAUUGGCUCCUCUUCUAUGUCAGGCCCAGUGGAGAUGGGAGUCCAACGCUUUACACCUCCAUUCACCCGAGUAGCUUGAUGUCUACUUCCCAGCAGUUUCAAAAUCAUAAAGGGGCCAGCAGGACCCAUGGGACCUGACACUUGGACUUGAGAGCUUUCCUCCAAGAGAAGGAGGAAUGGAUGGAAGAUAUCAGGCACAUUGAGGAACAGAAGUUUGGCCAGUGGCGAUGAGAGCCGAGUGGUCAGAUGUCCAACUGCUGAUUCCCUAAUCGCUCAACUUGUUUUCCUGUCAGUUGCAGCCAUAACAAAACUCUUAGCUAACACACGGCAGGAGGCGGAGUAUGGGACCCCUGUCGCAGGCUCCGAGAGGCCUUCUGCUGACAUCUGCUCAGGGGUCGGCUCAGCAAUGAAAUUUAGGCAGCAGUGGGGCUGCCGUCCUGGGAGGUGAGAAACGAACAGUCACCUAAGGUCAGGGGCGGAGCAGUGGAACCCCCGGCUGAGCGCUGGCCAGGGGUCUCCUCCGUGAGAAGGCCCUGUUUGGAGGCCGUGUCUGAAGCUAUUGCUAAAGCAGGAAAGGUGCUCUGAACCUUCCAUCUAUCCAACAAGGCAAGCCACAUCGGUGCAUGUGGAACCUGGGACUGUGGGAGUUGGAAUGUUGACGGGGGUCAGUAGUGUGUGGUCGUUGUCAUGCAGAAUUCCAGGUGUGGAAGUCAUGGGGUCAGUUAGGGCCUGGUUUUGGGGGGGGGAUUUCCUUUUCUGAAGUGGAGGAGGGGGUGGGUGAAAUUCAGCCUUGACCCUUUCAUGGAUCCAGAUGGCUUUGACGAUUGAGGGUGCCCAGCCUGACAACCCUGGAGGCCAGAGGAGUGGAGGGGGUGAGAAGUGUUCCCGUCUCAGAAAGUGAGACCCUGAGGAGCCUCUGGGGGUGGCCCAGGGUCUCCCUAGCUGGAGACCCAAGUAGGAGCUGAGAUCUUUGGAGGAACGGAGGAGGCAGAGGGGUCACAAAGAUGCCAGCAGGCUAAGCCAGAUGAGUGGGGCUGCCGGACGAAGGGCCAGCUCUCUUUGUCCUGCUGAAAAGCUUUAGUUUCUUCAUCUUAAAGCGAUUUUAAAAAGAUGAGAUCAAAUAAUUCAGUUUCCAUCAUUAUGUGAUUUUUAAGUGAAGUCAUUUCCGAACUCUGUGCAGUAGAUGAGGUGAUUUCUUCUAUGGAAAAUGAAAAUAGUUGGUAAUGUUAUUCAGCUUAUUCCUUGAAUAGGCUCUUACAAAUUUCUCCCAACUCUUUUUCAGUUUUCUCAGAAACUUGGCACAUCCAUUUUCUUUUUUUUUUAACCAAAUUUUGUAUUAUAACAAUUUUCAUCAUUUCAUCUAAAAUUAUGUCUAAAGACAAAAAGAUUUGAAGAAAUACUCGGGCUAGGGUUGUGGCUCAGUGGUAGAGCGCUUGCCUAGCAUGUGUGAGGCACUAGGUUCAAUCCUCAGCACCACACAAAAAAUAAGUAAAUAAAUAAGAUAAAAGUACUGUGUCCAUCUACAACUAAAAAAACCCCACAAACAAACAAACAAAAAACCGAAAAAGGAAAUACUAUAUAUAGGCACACUGUCCAUGAUUUCCUCCAGAAAAGAGCAAGAUGACUGUGUCUUAACUUUUCUAUAUUUUAAAAAUUGUCUUCAUAUUAAUAAUCAGAGACAACUAACGAAUGCUAUUUAAAUAAGUGCUGUUCCUCCAACACCCGUUUCAGAGGCCCCAAGCUUACACACAUCUCCACUGUCAAACGUUCCGUCUUCCAAGUAGCACUUCCCAGUGCAUCAUAUGCAGGUAUGGGUGUCUGUGUGGCACCAGAGAUAUGUCCUUCCAGAAUCAUCCAGCACAGUGCCUCAUUCACACUGUGUUAAAACACCAAGGACCAAAGGGAAAUAAAUCAGUUUUACAUUUCUAUUUCUUACUUAUUUAUAAAGAUAAAAGCAGCUAAGAAUAUAUGUAUAUUAUGAAAACAUUUAAUUUUUAUGUUUACUUUUGGUGUAGUGACCUUAUAGAGUCUUAAAAGUAUUUUUUUCCAGUGAUUCUGAGUCCAUUUUAAUAGAAAAUAGAGAGGAACAGUUUAGGCCAAGUGCUUUAAUUUUUCCUGUGGUGGUGUUUGUCAGCCCAGGGUCCUGUCUCUGGGCUCUGAGGUUCUAAGUGCAUCUUAGGACUGAUUUCUCCCAUGCUGGGUAUACUUGACAACUUCAGAAGCUGCACCAAUGUCUUCAUGUGGGGAACAUGUUGCAUGGAGCCAGUAAAAGUGGUCCUUUCCCAGAUAACAAGAAGAUGGCUGGCUGUUCUGCAGGGGACCAUCAGUUAUUCUAACCCAUGUGGAAUUUUAUGCCUGUAACAGCUAUUUAAAUAUCAUUUUAUAAUUUGAGUUAAAAAAUUAAAUGUCCACAGGAAGAAAUAUCUUCAAUAUAUUAGAAUGGUAGUAUAGUAUAGGCAAAAUGUAUAUUAACAUGCAAUGUUAAUAUUUAGUCAAUUUUCUCAUUUUACAUUUAAUUAAGUUUGAGUUCUGAGUAAAUGGGAGAAAUGACAAAAAUUAGUGUAUGAUAUAAAAUUGAGUGAAUUUAGGGAACACUUCAUAAAAUUUUCCUUUUGUAAAUUUCUGAAAAACAAUUUAAUUUCGUGGCUACUGCAUUUGGAGUGCUGUCGAAGGCACUUUUUCCUUCCCCAAUAUAAUAAUACUCUGCUCAUUUUUCCUUUGGAAACCUUGUUGUUUUAGUUUUAUGUCUGAGUCUGUGAUUUUUCUCAAAUUAAUUUUUUAUGUGGUGUAAGGGGAAUCAAGAUUUAUUUUUUUUGAUUUCUAAUUAGAAGAUUCCUACUUAUUGAAAAGAUUGUCCUUUCCCCAAUCAACUGCAGAGGAGCCCAUGUGUAAAGUGUGUGUGUGUGUGUGUGUGUGUGUGUGUGUGUCUGUGUGUGUGUGAGAUGGUUUGUGCCAACUAGUCCUCUCUACUGGCCUGCUUAUCGGCUCUUGGCUUGUGUCACACUGUAUUCAGGUUGCAGUUAUAUGUUCUCCAGCUUCAUUUUUGUUAGCAUUGGCUUGAUCUUCUGAUUCCUUCAAAUUAGAAGAAAAUUUUGAAUUUUAAAACAAACCUGCCAAUUUCUACUAAAUGAAUCUUAUGGGAUUUUGAUUGGGAUUACAUUGAAUAUUUGGACUCAGAGACCUGAAGAUCUUUUCUGUGCUUUAAUUACCUGCUCUGGACUAUAAUUAUUUGCUUAUCAUAUAUAAUAUGUUAUAUGUCUGACCCAGCUGAUCAUAUAUGUGCAUUAUUGUACAUUAACCUGUCCAUCUGCUUUAUAUGUUUUUAAAAAUAAUUUCCAGUUUAACUGAGGUAAAGUUGACAAAUAAAAAUUGUAUAUAUUUAAGGUGUACAAGGUGAUGUUUUGAUAUAAGUAUAGAUUGCAGAAUGAUUGCCACAAUAAAUCUAAUGAACAUACCAUGCCCUCAUAGUUAUAUCUGUGUGUGUGUGUAUGUGUGUGUGUGUGUGUGUGUGUGUGUGUUGAGACACUUAAGAUCAUAUCAACAAGCUGGGCACCGUGGCUCACACCUAUAA